GAAUUCGCCCUUGGGGAAUUUUCCGCAAUGGGCGAAAGCCUGACGGAGCAAUACCGCGUGAGGGAGGAAGGCUCUUGGGUUGUAAACCUCUUUUCUCAGGGAAGAACAGAAUGACGGUACCUGAGGAAUAAGCAUCGGCUAACUCCGUGCCAGCAGCCGCGGUAAUACGGAGGAUGCAAGCGUUAUCCGGAAUGAUUGGGCGUAAAGGGUCCGCAGGUGGCAUUGUAAGUCUGCUGUUAAAGAGUUUGGCUCAACCAAAUAAGAGCAGUGGAAACUACAAAGCUAGAGUGUGGUCGGGGCAGAGGGAAUUCCUGGUGUAGCGGUGAAGUGCGUAGAUAUCAGGAAGAACACCAGUGGCGAAGGCGCUCUGCUAGGCCGAGACUGACACUGAGGGACGAAAGCUAGGGGAGCGAAUGGGAUUAGAUACCCCAGUAGUCCUAGCCGUAAACGAUGGAUACUAGGCGUAGCUCGUAUCGACCCGAGCUGUGCCGGAGCUAACGCGUUAAGUAUCCCGCCUGGGGAGUACGCAGGCAACUGUGAAACUCAAAGGAAUUGACGGGGGCCCGCACAAGCGGUGGAGUAUGUGGUUUAAUUCGAUGCAACGCGAAGAACCUUACCAAGGCUUGACAUGUCACGAAUCCUAUUGAAAGAUGGGAGUGCCUUCGGGAGCGUGAA
Molecule: ribosomal RNA, 675 nt
Filed under: uncultured cyanobacterium
Lineage: Bacteria; Bacillati; Cyanobacteriota
Description: bacterial SSU rRNA
Rfam family: Bacterial small subunit ribosomal RNA
Source: RNAcentral